RNAcentral lists this long non-coding RNA (1348 nucleotides) under Oryctolagus cuniculus (rabbit). RNAcentral's name for it is "lncRNA (ENSOCUG00000033115.1)". Lineage: Eukaryota; Metazoa; Chordata; Mammalia; Lagomorpha; Leporidae. The record is from RNAcentral.
CCAAUGACUAUCACAGUUAAAUGGAUCCUAGAAUGCCUGUAGAGAAAUAAAAUGGUAGAAUAAAAUUCUUAAAGUUAAAAAUAAUAACAAAACACUUGGGACUCAGUUCUGUUAACAUGUCUAAACUCAUUCAACCCAUUCAGUAAUUCCAAAUAUUCUGCUUGAACAUAAUGAAAAGUGUUUGUAGACAAGCACCCUAGAAAUUCAAAGGGUUAAAGUAGGGACCCCUGGGUGGCUAAGGGACAUAAAUGGACAGAUAUCUAUCCAAAACAUCAAAAGUAUCCCCCAUUAAGUAGUUGCCUAAUUUCUUAUAGUUGUCUAACCUAUUUUGAGGAGUAAAGUCAUUCACAGCUUUCUGGCUUUAAGACAUGAGCUUAGUGUCUUAAUACUCAUUACUAUAUGCAGAAAUCCAUUUCUCUCUUUGCUAUCUCUUUUGGAAAUCUUUGUUUAAUAAUGCUCAGUAAAUUAGGCCUCUAUAGGGUUGGCUUUAUCCCACCCUGCCAGUUUCUUUCCCUUUUUGUACCUCUGUAAAAUAUCUGCGUAGAGUCUCUGAUUUGAAAUGUUAAUUAAGGUGGGCCUGGCCUCAGGUUACAGUAUACAUUCCUUUUUACAUGCAAAGGGAUAUGCUAACUAGGUCACUGAGAAUCUGAGGGCCAAGAGGGAGGCCUCCAGAAGACAACACAAGUCCAUGAAGAAUGGGGCAGUUUUCAGCAACUCUGAAAGAGACAAUCAGCAAGACCCUGUUGGCUGAAGGAAUAGUAUGUAGAAUAAAAAUUUCUGCAAGAAGAGGAAAGUGACUACAUGAAAGAACAUAUUACCUGCACGUCAGAACAGAAUUUAACUAGCUUGGGGCACCUGCUACUCUGUGUGUGAAAGAAAGCCCUUCCCCAGUCCUGCACUUACAGCCUUCUAUCUGUUCAUCUUGUGCCACAUGACAGGAAGAUUGGAAGAUAUGAGAGGACAUCAGACACUACUACAUUUUCACAAAGCUUUCAUUUUUAUUUCUGGUAUUUUAAAAUAUAUUUAUUUAUUUUUAUUUUAUUUGGAAGGCAGAAAGAGAAACAGAUGGACAGAGGUUCUUCAUCCACUGGCCCACACCCCAAAUGUAUACAAACAGCAAGAUCUGGGACAAGCCAAAGACAGGAACUUGGAACUCAAUCCCAUGUUGGUGACUAGGACUGCAAUACUUGAGUCUUCACCUACUAUCCUCUGGGCUCUGCAUCCCCAGGAAGCUAGGUCAGAAGGAGAGGAAGGUGGACUCAGACAAGGCACUCAGAUGUGGGAUGUUCUACGCUCUAAGCAGCAACCUGACUGCUGCACCAAGCAUCUGUCCUGUUUCUCAUUUUAA